UUUCCAGUGCUAUUAAAUAAGCACAUACAGUAAGAUUUUUGACUAUGCUUUAAAUAGAACUUACUGGAUAGUAAUUGGGAACAACUAAGCUUUGUUCUCAAAGUGCUUGGCAGAUAUAGCAGGUGUAUGAGUAUUUUUUGCUGAGUAUACCUAGAUGCUAAGCAAUUGAAAGUUGUGGGGGAGCUAGUAAGUCAGGAAUGCAGAAAUGAAGCUGCCUCGGGUGUAUUGCACUGGAAUUAAGCUUUGACUGCCAUGCCCUAGUGUACAAAGUUAUAACAAAAAUAAAUCCCCAUUUGUGUGAUCACAGAUACAUCUUCUCUGUUUCUAAAUCUUCAGGAAAGGCUUACUAAAGGUCAGCAAAAGUUUCCUUCUAAGGAUAACAAGGUGUUGAAGAAAUGAACUAGAAAUUAACUCUUGAUUUCUAGUUAACCCUAAGCAUUUCUGCCUUGCCCUCUUCUUCAAAAAGGACAGAAAUACCCAAGGGGAAAAGUAGAUACACUGAAGACAGGGACUUGUCUAGUGAUGGAUUUUACAGAUUAUUUCAG
Molecule: long non-coding RNA, 545 nt
Organism: Aquila chrysaetos chrysaetos
Lineage: Eukaryota; Metazoa; Chordata; Aves; Accipitriformes; Accipitridae
Exons: 2
Source: RefSeq, a predicted model, not a curated record